UACAGAGGUCCCAAGCGUUGUUCGGAUUCACUGGGCGUAAAGGGUGCGUAGGUGGUUGGGCAAGUCUGAUGUGAAAUCUCCGGGCUUAACCCGGAAAUGGCAUUGGAAACUGCCUGGCUAGAGUGUUGGAGGGGGGACUGGAAUUCUCGGUGUAGCAGUGAAAUGCGUAGAUAUCAGAAGGAACAUCAGUGGCGAAGGCGGCUUUCUGGACCAAUACUGACGAUCAGGUGCGAAAGCGUGGGGAGCAAACAGG
RNAcentral lists this ribosomal RNA (253 nucleotides) under uncultured bacterium. RNAcentral describes it as "partial 16S ribosomal RNA". It matches the Rfam family "Bacterial small subunit ribosomal RNA", at positions 524 to 776 of the family's 1533-position model. The record is from RNAcentral.